RNAcentral lists this ribosomal RNA (495 nucleotides) under Triticum aestivum (bread wheat). RNAcentral's name for it is "partial small subunit ribosomal RNA". The record is from RNAcentral. Lineage: Eukaryota; Viridiplantae; Streptophyta; Magnoliopsida; Poales; Poaceae.
AUGUUUAUCUCUGGGACGACCAAAUAUGCAGAGAGAAUAUGGGCACUCAGGAUAGCUGGCUCAUGGGAACCCCGGAUAAGAACUUCUGGCUUGGAUAUACACACAAUGAAUACUGAGCUCGCGUCAAUGUUUUCGUCAGCAGGGGAAGAUGUCGAUCCCGGGCGCAUCGUGGAGGUUGCUAUGGGUAUCGGUGCAUUCCAGGAAAGCAUCGGGUUCCUAAUGGACGUGACACCGAAAAGGUAUACCCGUGGAGCUUAUUACAGCCAAGCAAAGGCAAUUAUUGAGAAGGUUGCCAGGGGAUUUACAUCUUCCGGCAAUGGAGCUGAUUGGGCGUACAAGUUAUCCGAGAUCCGUCUCUCAUUGAUCUAUGACCACCUCUACACAAAGUUUGGGAGCCUCAAGCUGAAGGGUUUGUUCCUGUACCGGCUAACCACUCUUGCCAUAACCUCUACGGCUCUCGCUUUCUUUGUUGUAGCCAGCAAGGGAGGCAGCUAG